Molecule: transfer RNA, 65 nt
Filed under: Cephalochlamys namaquensis
Lineage: Eukaryota; Metazoa; Platyhelminthes; Cestoda; Pseudophyllidea; Cephalochlamydidae
Description: tRNA-Leu
Source: RNAcentral
GUAAAAAUGCCAGAGGUAAAAUGGGUUUGGUUUAGGACUAAAUUACGACAUUAUGUCUUUUUACU